GUAGGUGGCAAGCGUUGUCCGGAAUUAUUGGGUGUAAAGCGCGCGCAGGUGGUUCUUUAAGUCUGAUGUGAAAGCCCCCGGCUCAACCGGGGAGGGUCAUUGGAAACUGGGGAACUUGAGUGCAGGAGAGGAAAGUGGAAUUCCACGUGUAGCGGUGAGAUGCGUAGAUAUGCGGAGGAACACCAGUGGCGAAGGCGACUUUCUGGCCUGUAACUGACACUGAGGCGCGAAAGCGUGGGGAGCAAACAGGGAUUAGAUACCCUGGUAGUCCACGCCGUAAACGAUGAGUGCUAAGCGUUGGGGGGGUUUCCGCCCCCUCAGUGCUGCAGCUAACGCAUUAAGCACUCCGCCUGGGAGUACGGUCGCAAGACUG
Molecule: ribosomal RNA, 373 nt
Filed under: uncultured organism
Description: partial 16S ribosomal RNA
Rfam family: Bacterial small subunit ribosomal RNA
Source: RNAcentral